UCCGCCUACGGGGGGCAGCAGUGGGGAAUAUUGGGCAAUGGGCGCAAGCCUGACCCAGCAACGCCGCGUGAAGGAAGAAGGCUUUCGGGUUGUAAACUUCUUUUAUCAGGGACGAAGCAAGUGACGGUACCUGAUGAAUAAGCCACGGCUAACUACGUGCCAGCAGCCGCGGUAAUACGUAGGUGGCAAGCGUUAUCCGGAUUUACUGGGUGUAAAGGACGUGUAGGCGGGAGUGCAAGUCCGAUGUGAAAACUAUGGGGUCAACCCAUAGCCUGCAUUUGCAACUGUACUUCUU
RNAcentral lists this ribosomal RNA (295 nucleotides) under uncultured bacterium. RNAcentral's name for it is "partial 16S ribosomal RNA". It matches the Rfam family "Bacterial small subunit ribosomal RNA", at positions 334 to 643 of the family's 1533-position model. The record is from RNAcentral.